CAGCCGCCGCGGGAAUACGAAGGGGGCUAGCGUUGCUCGGAUUUACUGGGCGUAAAGGGCGCGUAGGCGGACAGUUAAGUUGGGGGUGAAAGCCCGGGGCUCAACCUCGGAAUUGCCUUCAAUACUGGCUGUCUUGAGUACGGGAGAGGUGUGUGGAACUCCGAGUGUAGAGGUGAAAUUCGUAGAUAUUCGGAAGAACACCAGUGGCGAAGGCGACACACUGGCCCGUUACUGACGCUGAGGCGCGAAAGCGUGGGGAGCAAACAGGAUUAGAUACCCCUGUAGUCCCUGUCUCUUAUAC
RNAcentral lists this ribosomal RNA (301 nucleotides) under uncultured bacterium. RNAcentral's name for it is "partial 16S ribosomal RNA". It matches the Rfam family "Bacterial small subunit ribosomal RNA", at positions 509 to 807 of the family's 1533-position model. The record is from RNAcentral.